UUGAGUCUCUAAAUACAUGGUACAAAAUUCAAAUACAAACUAAUUAUACAACAGUCGUGUAAAAUACGACAAAACAUAUGCUGUGAGUAUUAAUACAAAUAUUGUCAUCUAGACAAUAUCCACACUCAAUGGAGUCCUCAUUACAUUUAUUAUUACACUAUUUCAAAGAAUAGUGAGGACUACUAAUGCACCAUAUAGGACCAUCACACUGUUCCACGACUAGCCCCAGCUACGUUCUCAUUUCCUGA
Molecule: long non-coding RNA, 248 nt
Filed under: Panax ginseng (ginseng)
Lineage: Eukaryota; Viridiplantae; Streptophyta; Magnoliopsida; Apiales; Araliaceae
Description: long non-coding RNA (PGIN_LNC015791)
Source: RNAcentral